GAUGAACGCUGGCGGCGUGCCUAAUACAUGCAAGUCGAGCGAACGGACGAGAGGGUUGCUUCUCGGAUGUUAGCGGCGGACGGGUGAGUGACACAUGUAUAACCUCCCUAUAAGACUGGGAUAACUUCGGGAAAACGGAUCUAAUACCGGAGAAUAUUUUAAACCGCAUGGUUCAAAAGUGAAAAACGUUCUUUCUGUCACAUAUUGAGGUAGCCUCGCUGCAUUAGCUAGUUGGUAGGGUAACGGCUUACCAAGGCAACGAUGCAUAGCCGACCUGAGAGGGUGAUCGGCCACACUGGAACUGAGACACGGCCCAGACUCCUACGGGAGGCAGCAGUAGGGAAUCUUCCGCAAUGGGCGAAAGCCUGACGGAGCAACGCCGCGUGAGUGAUGAAGGUUUUCGGUUCGUAAAACUCUGUUGUUAGGGAAGAACAUAUGUGUAAGAAACUGUGAACAUCGUGACGGUACCUAAUCAGAAAGCCACGGCUAACUACGUG
This 497-nucleotide ribosomal RNA is filed under the name uncultured bacterium. RNAcentral's name for it is "partial 16S ribosomal RNA". It matches the Rfam family "Bacterial small subunit ribosomal RNA", at positions 28 to 507 of the family's 1533-position model. The record is from RNAcentral.